UACGUAGGGGGCAAGCGUUGUCCGGAAUCAUUGGGCGUAAAGAGCGCGUAGGCGGUCCGGUAAGUCGGUUGUGAAAACUGGGGGCUCAACCCUCAGAGGCCGACCGAUACUGUCGGGCUAGAGUCCGGAAGAGGCGAGUGGAAUUCCUGGUGUAGCGGUGAAAUGCGCAGAUAUCAAGAGGAACACCAAUGGCGAAGGCAGCUCGCUGGGACGGUACUGACGCUGAGGCGCGAAAGCGUGGGGAGCAAACAGG
RNAcentral lists this ribosomal RNA (253 nucleotides) under uncultured bacterium. Its description in RNAcentral is "partial 16S ribosomal RNA". It matches the Rfam family "Bacterial small subunit ribosomal RNA", at positions 524 to 776 of the family's 1533-position model. The record is from RNAcentral.